AUGGAAGAGCUGAAACUGGAAAGCUACGUACAAGGUGGUGGAGAUGGAGCUCUCCCUCAUGUAAUGUAUGACAUCAUCUACACCAAGGCAGUGGUGAUCCAUACUUGGUAUGUUGUUACCACGUACAUCUUGUUGGUCGGGGCCUUCCUUCUUCUGGACAUGGCAUCUGUGUUGAGUACUCUGGGGUCGACCUGGACAUGUAGUUUCCUGUGGACCAGAGGCUGGAGUAAUGCUGGUCUUGUCAUCCUGUCUCUUCGUCGGCGUGUCAAGGCUGCCGGCAGUAGAAGGUGGUCAGGCUCAAUUGGGCAGUUCAACUUGUUGCAUUUCUUCGAACGGAGGGAGUACAAGAUAAGAAGCAGAGUGGCCAAGAUGAUGGGUCUGGAGGAUUGGUGGAACAAAUGGCGUUGCUCUGAGACCCUAGUGAUUUCACAGGAUGUCAAGGAGUUGGUGUUCAAACAUGUAUGGCAACUAGUGAAGAGGAUUCACCAUCCAAGUGCAGAAAAUGAGAUUUGCGAGAAUGGCAUGGUGGGGCUCAUGGGGAUGAUGCCACCUAUGAAUGAUUUGCCAGGCUUUCGUCCUGCACUAUACAAUGAAACUGCCAAGAGGCGCGAGAGAUUAGACGAUGCUCUCAACUUUGAUGCCGAACUCCAAGAGGUGAUCCUUACCUGGCGCGUCUUCACAAAUGUUUUCCUCUUGUCCAUCGACACACCCAAGGAUGCGGCAUCAUCCACUUAUCUGAAGGCUGUCAAGGCCCUGUCAGAUUACAUGGUAUUCCUCGUAGCGGUACGUCCUGACAUGAUACCCGGUCUUGAACUACGCAGCAUGUACGAAUCAACCGUCGAAGAUUUGAGGUGCAUAUGUUGUCCAUGGGGUAGCCACACUUCUUCCACAGAUAGCGUGAAGAGGCUUCUCAGCAUCAUGCAAGACCGCACGCACGAGGAUAUGGGAGAGGCGUGCGUCACUCUCUGGCAUGGGACCUUAUAUGCCAAGCUGAUGCUGGAACUUGUAGAUGCAGGCAGCGCUGAUAAGCCUGGCAUCAUAUCUUGUUACGAGGAUCGUGAUCAUGUCGCCAUGGAGAAACUGGAGCGCCUGAUGCCAGAUCUGGAACACUCAUGCAACGGAGCCGGAGGUGGUGUGUUUGAUAUGCCGAAGGCGUUGGCGCUCAUCUUGGAUGCAUGGGUGCGUCUUCUCGUCUUUGCUUCCGUCCAGUGCAGCAGGGAUGCCCAUGCCAGCCAGAUAAACCGCGGCGGGGAGCUUAUGACCGUUGUGUGGCUCAUGGAAGAACACGCCAACGUGUUUUUCAAGCAGCCCACUCCUGGUGGUAUUGAAUCUUUUCUGCUUCAGGCCCUCUGUUAA
RNAcentral lists this ribosomal RNA (1356 nucleotides) under Triticum aestivum (bread wheat). RNAcentral's name for it is "partial small subunit ribosomal RNA". Lineage: Eukaryota; Viridiplantae; Streptophyta; Magnoliopsida; Poales; Poaceae. The record is from RNAcentral.